CCAGCAUCUCUCCAUUGCAGUAGUGCUUGUUACAGCUGCUUGCGAUUAGAACAUUCACUUGGACCUACUACAGAUCCUCUAUCAUCACGCAAAUCAGAGAGAUCAAAGGAAACUGAAUAAUAAUCAUCAUAAGAAGAUUGUUAAAAGAUUAUGACUGAAGUUUUCAAACAAUAGAGUUAAAAUGAAGUUAAUCAUUCUGUUGUUAUUAUUAGUCAGUUCAGUUUCUUGUAAACCCUGGCUCGAUCUAUGGUUUCCCCAGCAAUCCUACGACAAUCAAAAUACCGGAUACUACGCAAACGGCCCGUAUCGUGAAAGCAGAGGUGGUAAGGAGCGCUGGAAACAAAUCUGCAGGACUAUAAAUGCGGAUUCGUAUGCGUUCCCAGGACGCGUGCCUUAUCCCGCCGCACCUGUUUGUCCAUGGUAAAGGAAAUUUCCGGUUGGAUUUCAUAUCUACCGUGCCAAACGCAAGUGAGAAUAUUUCGUGCGUUAAAAAUAUGAAUUUAUUAUAACAACGUAGUUUUAGGAUACACAUUCCAAAACGUCCUCUCCUCAGUGAAAAAUUUUACUCAAAAUAUAUAAUACACGUAACUUAUACUAUAGUAUAUAGAGUAAAAUUUUCCUGGAAGAGGACGUUUUUGGAAUGUAUAGCUUUAGACAGUAUAUACGUCCACCGGUUAUGAGUAUUUCAGUCAGUAUGCGUGUACGUAUGUGUCCAUGACAAUGCUAGCAAACAUAAUGCUAGUAUACAUAUAAAUAUUCGCGAUUACAUACAUGUAGCUACGUAUACGUUCAUCAAGUACGAAGCGAGGAGAUAAUUGUCCACCAAUUGUAUCUUUUGUACGUGAACUUUAUUACUCCUCGUUUCUCGGUCCGUAUUCGCAUUUGUUAGAUAUAAAGACAAGAAAAAGAGACUAGAAAACUUAUCGUACUAUAAAAAAUAGCUUUUAAAAUCCAAAAAGAAACAAAGCUAAAGAAUACAAUGGAAAACUAUAAAAAUGUAGUUUCUAAAUAUAACUUUCUCGGACAUUUUAAGAGCAUUCCAUCGUGCAAAGUCACUUUAUAUCCGUAUAACUUUUAUUUACCUUUUAGUGUUAAACAAAUGCGCGUAUGGACCCACUAAAUAUCUGCUAACUUAGAUACUGUUCAAAGACUUAUUAUCUAUAGAUCUAUGUAACAUCGACUUUCUAUGUCAUCACCAUUUGCCUACAAAUCAGUAAUACUCCGAGCUCUCUCUCUUUUUUUCCUUUCUUACGUAUAAAAAUAAGCUAUAUACAUUUUAUAUUACAUUGUAAUGUAAGCUUACGUUCAAAUUUUCUUAAAAAAUGCAAGCCUUCGUAGCACAAUUGUAAUCAUAGUCUUAAAUAUCAUAUAUAUUACAUGCUCUUUUUAUAUACAGUCCAGGAUCACAGAGUUCGGUACAGCACGGCGGUGUUGUGUGUACGUUAUUAGCGUGUAGUUUAAAGAAGCGAUAAAAGCCAUCUUAAUAAAAUCGUCUAAGCAAAUUGAACAAUAUAAAGUUUAAUUUAAAUACAGUCGAGAGAAUUUUACUCAUUUAUAGUUAAUCUAUAAAAUUAUAUUUCGA
This is a long non-coding RNA of Cyphomyrmex costatus, 1582 nucleotides long. RefSeq lists it as uncharacterized. NCBI's taxonomy places the organism in Eukaryota, Metazoa, Arthropoda, Insecta, Hymenoptera, Formicidae. The transcript has 3 exons. The record is from RefSeq and is a predicted model, not a curated record.